This 75-nucleotide antisense RNA is filed under the name Parafrankia colletiae. Its description in RNAcentral is "Frankia sp. Cc1.17 ASpks TB sRNA". It matches the Rfam family "ASpks TB sRNA". The record is from Rfam by way of RNAcentral. Lineage: Bacteria; Bacillati; Actinomycetota; Actinomycetes; Frankiales; Frankiaceae.
CUUCAACGAGCCCAGCCAGCAGGGGCUGUCCGCCGGCCGGUCGUGCCCGUAGGUGGCGAGCAGGGCCUGGGCCUC